RNAcentral lists this ribosomal RNA (246 nucleotides) under uncultured Actinomycetes bacterium. RNAcentral's name for it is "uncultured actinobacterium partial 16S ribosomal RNA". It matches the Rfam family "Bacterial small subunit ribosomal RNA", at positions 28 to 276 of the family's 1533-position model. Lineage: Bacteria; Bacillati; Actinomycetota; Actinomycetes. The record is from RNAcentral.
GACGAACGCUGGCGGCGUGCUUAACACAUGCAAGUCGAGCGGUAAGGCCCUUUCGGGGGUACACGAGCGGCGAACGGGUGAGUAACACGUGGGUGACCUGCCCUUAGCUCUGGGAUAAGCCUGGGAAACUGGGUCUAAUACCGGAUAUGACCUCAUGACGCAUGUUGUGGGGUGGAAAGCCUUGUGCGGCUAGGGAUGGGCCCGCGGCCUAUCAGCUUGUUGGUGGGUGAUGGCCUACCAAGGCGA